Hemicordylus capensis (graceful crag lizard) is the source of this 5072-nucleotide RNA transcript. It is a transcript of the gene named collagen type XXVI alpha 1 chain, with no coding region annotated. The transcript has 15 exons. Lineage: Eukaryota; Metazoa; Chordata; Lepidosauria; Squamata; Cordylidae. The record is from RefSeq and is a predicted model, not a curated record.
CGAGGGACUUGUGCGCCAAGGGCGCACGGAGUUGGCGCCGGCUGCUUGGAGAGCGACUGCGGGCAGCCUCUCCUUGGCCAGCCCAGACUCAGACAGCCGCCUCCGCCGCUCUGCGGACCUUCUCUCCAGGCUCCCUCCGGGGGUCCUCCGCAGCCUGAGAUCAUGCGGCUGUGAGGAGGCGCUGGGUUCCGCAGCGCCCCUCUCCGUCCCGAGCCGCGCCGCGCCUUGUGCGUCCUGCUGGGGCGAAGAAGGAGGCGCCUCUCUCCAAAGCUCUCCAAGAUGUCCCUGGCGGUGCGCUUCUGGUCUUGGUGCUGCUGCUGCUGCCUGUGGGGCUGCAGCUUCGGGACGGGCUUCCUCUACCACCCGUUCCCCGCCUCCGCCCUGCAGCAGCAGCACAACUUCCCCGAGCAGAACUCCGGAGGGCCGUCCGGCCACGGCUUCGCCAGUCGCCGGCACUGGUGCCACUACACAGUCACCCGGACCAUAUCCUGCCAGGUGCAGAAUGGCUCGGAGACAGUGAUCCAGAGGGUCUACCAAAGCUGUCGUUGGCCUGGACCGUGCACCAACUUAGUAAGUUACAGGACUCUCAUCAGGCCCACUUACAAGAUCUCCUACAGAACGAUGACCGCUCUGGAAUGGCGCUGCUGCCCGGGCUUCACAGGAAGCAACUGCGAGGAAGAAUGUAUGAAUUGCACGUGGCUCACGGAUAUGACGGAGAGGCUGAACACCCUUGAAGCCAAGAUCCUUCUACUUGAGGCUGCAGAGAGGACCCCACCUUCAGAGAAUGACUUGCCCAUGGCCAUGACGACGGCCACAUGGUAUGACGACCUCUUGCCGGACGCCAUUCCUCUCGCCAACCCUGGGACAGUGCUACGGAAGCCAAUCAGACCUGUUGGGUUGCCAGGACCGUCGGGGAAACCAGGACUUCAAGGGCCAAGAGGGGAGAAGGGAGACACCGGUGAGAAGGGGCCAUCUGGACAACCAGGACUGCUUGGACCUCCAGGACCCAGAGGAUAUCCCGGAGAAACUGGGAUUCCUGGCCCCCCAGGGCCCCCAGCUGCCCCAGGCCUCCCAUUAACGUUCCAGCAAGGAGUUCUAUACUCGCUGCAGCCGACGGCAGAAAAAGAAAAUGGUGAAGCUCAGUUGGCAUCCACAGUCAUCGACACCAUCCUGGCCGGUUUGCCAGGGCCUCGUGGUGCCCCUGGACCCAAUGGCCCACCAGGCCCACCAGGAUCAUCAGGCCCCAAGGGGGCACCAGGACCCAUAGGAGCUCCAGGGGUACAGGGCAUGCCUGGUUCUUCAGGACAGCCCGGAUCAAAAGGCUCCAAAGGCGACCGAGGAGAAAGAGGACAAGCAGGAACGACUGGAGAAAGAGGCGUUAAGGGCCUUCCUGGUGAACCCGGCAAGAAAGGUGAAGAAGGAGACAAAGGAGCAGAUGGUGAAGGUGUCCAACAACUUCGAGAGGCCCUGAAGAUAUUGGCCGAGAGGGUGUUAAUUUUAGAGCACAUGAUUGGAAUCCAUGAUUCUUUGUCUCCUAUUGAAGCAGGCUCAGGACAAGACAUGAUCCUGGGCGCCCCGCUCCGAGCAAAUGUGAAAAUCAAGAGGCAUCACUCAAACCAAAUCACUUUGUCUCUGCCGGAUGACAGUGAAACCAGAGAGAAAAGCAAGAAGAGGAACUAGGACAUCCAGAUGGUUCCCAGUCCCCAGCUAUGUUAGUAGAGUUAGACUCGUCAGAAAUCCAGGUCCACCAGGGAAGGCAGAAGAGCUUCCAGAGACGUAGGCACCGUUUGACUUCUGUCGGCGGUCCCAGCAGGUCAGGAUGGAAUGAAUGCACAUCGGAUACAUUCCUUGAACUGUCCAUGAUCUUUCUAAUGUAUGCUUACACUUAGUACAUGUCCUAUCUCUGUCCAUGUGUAGAUGUCUAUCUCAGGCAGUCAUGAUAAUGGCCACAAUUCAAGAGGUCUGGUGUGUGAAAGCCACCCAAAACCGCACUGAGUGUUUCUGAAAACCACAAUCUUAAGAGUUGCCCACAGUUUCUACUGAGGAUCUCCACAUGUCUGUCAUGGAGCCCAUGUGCAUUCUAGAACCUUUCGGAAUAUUCUGGAAGACACUCUCAAGUCACACGGAGUCUCUCAUCCCUCUACGUGAACUCAGAAUUCACAGAACACACUCAACACUCUUCUUCGGUAGCUGAACAUUACAGGGAAAGAUCAGUAGCAAUGCACACUUGAACUUUCAAGAAGGUUGGCUAUCAUUAUUGACGGAGAGCUCCAAGAAGCUUCUGAGGAGCCUCUGGGUUUCCCACAAUGCAUGAGGAAAGCCAUUGCUCUGACUUAAUUUCCCCAUACCCCACCACACCUGGUCACACACACGUGGUCCAGCUAGGAAAAAGCAGCCAGUAUUUUACUGGUCCCACUGGUAAAUCUGCAUUCUGUCAGCUCAGGAUUUGAGAUCUGCAAACCUCUGUUUCUGCCAGAGUUUGCCAACAACCCAUUGAAGUUCUGCAACACAAGAAAUGUCCCACAACAUUGUGGUGGACAUCCAGACUAUCACCACACGUGUGCAAACAUGUUGUGUGAAUGCAAGGCUGUUGCGAAGGCUAGCUCCGCUAUGUUCAGAGCUUGCGUUCCAGGUUUUGUGCUGUGAUUUUGAGCAACGGCGUCGCUUUCUAGGGGGGAAACAACUCUGUUCUUAGUCUAGAUGGCACCACUGUCUGGGUUUCACUCCCUUACCUUCCAGAUUAGGAGCACAGGAACAUAGGAAGCUGCCUUCUACCGAGUCAAACCAUUGCUCCAUCUGGAAGAGAGCUGGUCUUGUGGUCACAAGCACGACUUGUCCCCUUAGCUAAGCAGGGUCCACCCUGGUUUGCACUUGAAUGGGAGACUAGGAUUGUGAGCACUGGAAGAGAUUCCCCCUAGAGAAUAGGGUUGCUCUGGAAAAUGCAUCUAGGUUCCAAGUUCCCUCCCUGGCAGCAUCUCCCAAGAUCGGGCUGAGAGAGAUUCCUGCCUGCAACCUUGGAAAAGCCACUGCCAGUCUGUGUAGACAAUCUUGAGCUAGAUGGACCAAGGGCCUGACUCAGUAUGUGGCAGCUUCCGAUGUGCCUAUGGCUCAGUACUGUCUGCUCAACCAGCAGAUGUUGGCCUACAAUUCCCAUCAAUCCCUAUUGGCCACUGUGGCUGGGGAUGCUGGGAGCUGUAGUCCAGAAACAGCUGGAUGACUGCAGUUGAGUAGCCAUGGUCUACAGUGACUGGCAGCAUCCUUCCAAGGUUUCAGGCAGACUUUCCCAGGCCUACCCAGAGAUGCUGCCAGGGAUUCAACUUGGAACCUUCUCCAUGCCAGCCGAUGCUCUACCACUGAGCUAUGCCCCCCUCUCCUAUGGGGAGUAUCUGACAGCAGACAGCACUCACAUGCAGCCACCCAUCAAAAUGCAAACCAGGGUGGACCCUGCAUAGCAAAGGGGACAAUUCAUGCUCGCUACCACAAGACCUGCUUUAAAAGUAGCUGCCUUCUACUGAGUCAGGCCAUUGGUCCAUUUGCCAUGGUAUUGUCUGCACUGACUGGCAGCAGCUCUCCAAGGUUUCAGGCAGGCGUCUCUCCCAGCCCUAACUGGAGAUGCUGCCAGGAAUUGAACCUGGGACCUUCUGCAUGCAAGGAUGCAGAUGCUCUACCACCAAGCAUCCUGAUUCCUCUUGACUUGCCAGAUUUCUCCAGACUCGCCAAGUUUAGUUUUAGCUACAUCAAUGGCCUUCAGCAUUCCCAGGCUUUGCCGCAGCUUUACGGAGAGGCUUUACCAUGAAGUUGCUCCCACCCCCCCACCCCACCGGCCAAAGAAAAUCGAGGCAAAAAAAUUUUUUAACCGUGGUUAUAAAUCGGGCUACACUCUAACGUGCAGUGAAAAACCCAAAUUCUGUGUGAAGUGCUCCCCGAUAGCUCACAGGGACUUGGAGGUAAAUCUGGCCAAUAUGUGAACGCACACCCUCCAUUGCAGAGGAGAUGUGAUCGAAAAGCCAGGUGUGAAAAAGCUUCCUUGGGAUGUCUUAUGAAAGAUGGUAUAGAAACUGAACAAUAAAUAAAUAAAUCUCCUGCAGUCUACAGGCCCACAUAGCUGACAGGAACUGACACGGUUAAAAUUAUCAAUUCACCCCCCUCUACACAAACACACACAGAGUGCUCUGAUCAGCAUAUCUACUGCGAACAGCCCCACCUGAAUUUCUGUGCCCCACACAGAUAUGGAAGAACCUCCAUCGCGGGUUCCUUUGGCAGGCUGGCUGUUUCCAGUGUGUAAGACGGACUGACUCCCCACUAAGCAUUGCUGUUACACUUCCAAGCCUAAUCUGCUCCUCCAAAAGGACUAGCAACUUAACAAAAUGCUGGAAUUCUCAGGAAGCUGCAUUUUUCUCUGCCUAACGCCACCUUUUGUGCUUUAUCUACCCUUGGAUGGAAUUGCAGAACGUAUAAAGCCUUGCUUUUAAAGGACUUGUUUACACCAAGAGGGACAACUGGGUUGCUUUAAUGGGAGGCACACUGAAUUUAGACUUCCCUUGGGAGGCAGGACACAAGUAACCCCUGAUAAAUAUUCCCGUUAUCCACUGGUGACAGCACGACACAAUGGUGGUGGGUGGGUAUGGGGGGAAUAAGGGCUUGUAGGCCUGAGAGACUUUCCCCCCAUUGCACAGAUCACACAGGUAUGUUGGUAAUAUCUGAAUCGUAAGGCCUGUUCUCACGACCCGAAUCGGGGUUUGGAGAAGCACCCAGCCAGGGUGGGAGAGCCGAUAAGUGGUCAUGCAGAGUCCAAGGUGGAGAGGAAAGGAACUGUGUGGGAGCCAGGAGCUGGGGAAGGACAGCUUUUUGGCCAUUCUUGAUAAAUGUUAGACAGGACGUCCUACCUGCUUAGGAUUGCCAUGUCCCUCAGAAUUUAGGAUAGCCCCUGGAUUUUGGCUCCUCCACGCAGCGGCUAAAUUCCAGCUGGAUUUACAGAGAUUUCAAAUGCGCUGCCUGGAUUCCCGGAUUUUACUCUGGAUCCGAUCACACGGGAGGACAGAGAAGGAGGGGAAAGUAUACAAAUCUGUCAA